AGAGCGAACGCUGGCGGCAGGCCUAACACAUGCAAGUCGAGCGCCCCGCAAGGGGAGCGGCAGACAGGAGAGUAACACGUGGGAACGUACCCUUCAGUUCGGAACAACCCAGGGAAACUUGGGCUAAUACCGAAUACGUCCGUAAGGAGAAAGAUUUAUCGCUGAAGGAUCGGCCCGCGUCUGAUUAGCUUGUUGGUGAGGUAACGGCUCACCAAGGCGACGAUCAGUAGCUGGUCUGAGAGGAUGAUCAGCCUCACUGGGACUGAGACACGGCCCAGACUCCUACGGGAGGCAGCAGUGGGGAAUAUUGGACAAUGGGCGCAAGCCUGAUCCAGCCAUGCCGCGUGGGUGAUGAAGGCCCUAGGGUUGUAAAGCCCUUUCGGCGGGAAGAUAAUGACGGUACCCGCAGAAGAAGCCCGGCUAACUACGUGCCAGCAGCCGC
Molecule: ribosomal RNA, 442 nt
Filed under: uncultured bacterium
Lineage: Bacteria
Description: SSU rRNA
Rfam family: Bacterial small subunit ribosomal RNA
Source: RNAcentral